AGACACAGAUGAAGCGGAAUUGUCCAUUACAACACAUUGUCCAGUUCAUUCACACUACAGAUCCGCUACCUAAUCUGGCAAACUUGCAUAAUGUAAGGUAA
This is a long non-coding RNA of Etheostoma spectabile (orangethroat darter), 101 nucleotides long. RefSeq lists it as uncharacterized. Lineage: Eukaryota; Metazoa; Chordata; Actinopteri; Perciformes; Percidae. The record is from RefSeq and is a predicted model, not a curated record. The transcript has 3 exons.